Molecule: long non-coding RNA, 2641 nt
Organism: Solanum tuberosum (potato)
Lineage: Eukaryota; Viridiplantae; Streptophyta; Magnoliopsida; Solanales; Solanaceae
Exons: 2
Source: RefSeq, a predicted model, not a curated record
UGUGUCAAAAUAAUUGUUUUAUGUUGCAAGAGUUGAGAAGCUUAAUCUUUAAUUAAAUACGUAAUUUACUUUUGCUUUUCAAUUUAUUUAAGAUAUGGUAAGAGGACCAGUUCCUUAACCCACUUAUUUUUCCUCAGCUUUUUAAUCCAAUUUUUUGGCCCCAAAAAGCUUUAAACCAGCCCACACCCUUUAUUCCACUAUUUUCCUAAUCCCCUUUACCUCACGCGCACACACACUCUUUUUGUUUCCUAGAAAGAACACACAGAACUCCCCUACGCGCCCCCUAUCCCACCUCUUUCUUCUUAUUCUUCCUCAGCGAAAGCAACCAAACGAACCCAACUUUAAAUCCUCAGAUUCACCGCCUCAAUUUUCCUCUUUUCUCCUUCAAUUCGUACUCUCCGCGUGCAUAGCACUAGCUCGAAGACGCCUCAAGCUUCCAACAUUGCUUUCCUCAACGGGAUUUUGAAAAUUCUCAAAAUCCCACAUCGAAAAUCUUUCCAAAUUUCGUGAGAUUUUAGUAACUAUAAAUACCCUCUCCCUAUAACUGUUCAAGGGGGGGCAUUUUGAGACCUGAGAGUACCCCUAAAAAAGUUUGGGAAUUCUCAACUCAAUAGUUUAAAAAUCUUGUGGUUGUUCGAGUUGAGGAGGUGGGAAUCGUCUCUGUCAAACUCGUUGUUCGGUUCGCUGCCCAGAACCAGGUAAUAUUCUUGCGCUUUCUUUAGUCUUUUCUUUCUGUUGCAUUGUGGAAUUGUUGUUUGUUUUAGUAUUGUUAAUUAUCUUUUAGAUCCAAUCUAUUUAGUGUGAUGUUUAUGACAGUAAAAGUUUGCAUGAUCUUGUUAACUUAGUUAAGUCAAUUUUGAAUGAAUGUAUUAAGUUUGUUGCUCUGUUGAUGGCUGUUAAUUUAGAGAUGUGAAUGUGAUUCUUUACUUAGUCGCAUUCAUAUAUCUAUAUAUGUGCUUUAGUUAUUAUUAUUCUUAUUCGACUUUGUAAUCCAUGUUAAUAUAGUUGUCGAUUUCUCUUCGUUGCCUUCUUAAAGAUAUAAGUUGUAUAUUCUUCCACUUCGAGUUUGUUUGGACUAAAAUGUUACGUCAAGCUUCGCUGCUCCUAAGAUGUGUUUUCGGCUAAAUUCUUGUAUAGUUUGAAACAAACAAAUUACUGUUACUCCGACUAGCUUUUCGUUAUUAUCGUAGCAUGUUUGUUCGAAUCUCAGUUUUGGUGCAGUUGACUGUCGUUCAUGUGAUUAAAAGUUAUUCUAGCUUAAUUUGAAGCUCUUUUCCUUUCUUUCUCUCAAGUAUGGACCUGUUUGUUACUUCCAAACAAAAUAGAUAUAGCUGGGUCAUAUAGUCAUUUGAUUUAAGUGUAUAAUUUUCUAAGGUAUGUUCUAUUAUGUGUGAAAUUUGAUUAUUACCAUUGAAUUCUUGGUUCCUUUUUCCUGCAUCUAGUCGCCCGUUUAUGAAGUUGGAAUAUGAGUUCUCGAUUACCUGUAUGCUUUCGUUCAUAACCUGUCGUAAUAGCUACCUGUAGUUUUCUUAAGAACUAGGAAUGAUUUACAUUUGUUCUUAUGUCUGAGAAUUCAUAUUACUUUUUCCUUCCAACAGUUUUAUUGUUUCCAGGAGCGUAUUUACCUGGCCAAAGGUCUCUUGUGUGCACUAAAUUUUUGACUUAAUCUUUUGUUUCUCUGUUUGCUGCUGUGAUUUUUUAAAAAAAUUUACAGCUAAUUGUUAAAUGGUCCCAUUCCGUGUCUACUUGCUGAUUUUUUAUUAUUUUUUAUUUUUUCCUUAAAUCCGUGACUAAAAGUUAUGUUUAUGUCUUUUCUUAGUUUGAACGUGGAAAAAAUAUGUUAUGAUUGGAAAUUAAUUGCCCUCUCUGUUAGCUUUCUCUUGUAUUGGUCAGGGUUUGGCAUAUUUCUUAUCUUUAAAUUAAUUUGAUUAUUUUGCUCAAGCUAUACAUAUAGUGUCAUUGUUUUAUUUUGUUUUUGUGUCAUCUUGUAUCAGAUUCUGUCCAUUGCUAAUAAAUGUUGCAUGAUUUCCUUCCGUCAAAUUGUUAAAUUUCAAUUUCUAUGUUUGUCUUUUAUUUUAUUUAUUUCUAUGUUGGUUUAAUUAUUAUGAGCUCUUGAAGUACUUUCCUUUAGUAUUUUCGUAUGUUAGAUUAGAAUGUUAAUCUCCCUUUUUCUUUCUUUUCUUGCGCAUGAACUCUCUCCGAAUGAGACCAAUGGACUCCUCUCUUUUGCAUUUUUCCCUCUUGAGUCAACCUCCGUCGGAGUUGUGAAAGGGAAGCUAAUAUUAAUGGGUUAAUACUCAAAUCAGUGGCAGCAGCAAUUUGCAGCAGUAGCAGCAGCCCCCAAAGGGCUAAAAAAUUGAAGUUUUGGACUUAAAGUCCCGUAUAAUAAAAAUCAGCAGCAGCGAUAGUAUUCCAAAGGGCUGGAGAUCUGAAAAAUUGGACUUGAAAAGUCUCAAUUUGAGUGCAGUUGUGGCGGCAGAACCAGAAAGGGGCCAAAGUGCCCUUUUUAUCCAGUUCUUUAUUUUAUUUAGUUAUCUACUCUAUUUGUGAAUAUAUGUUGAUGAUCGCUAACUUCUAACAUUUAUUUUAUCUAACUUAGAUGAAUCCUUGAAAGUUUUUAAGUAACUCUUCUAUUUCGUUA